Humulus lupulus (European hop) is the source of this 783-nucleotide long non-coding RNA. RefSeq lists it as uncharacterized. NCBI's taxonomy places the organism in Eukaryota, Viridiplantae, Streptophyta, Magnoliopsida, Rosales, Cannabaceae. The transcript is spliced from 3 exons. The record is from RefSeq and is a predicted model, not a curated record.
CACUAAUUAAUCUCCUCUUCUCCAUUUCUCUCAAACUCCCAGCCGCGCCCCUCCUUUCCUCCUUUCUCUCUGAAAAUUUUUAGCCUCCAAAAAUCAACAAAAACCCAUCCCAUGGCUCUCUCUCCCUAAGCAUCUCCCUCUUGGGUCUCUCUCCCUAAUGCUCGGACUCCCUCUUGGGUCUCUCUCCUAAACGGUCCGCUCCCUCUUGGGUCUCUCUCCCAAACGGUCCGCUCCCUCUUCUCGGCUCUCUAUCCCUAAUGACGAAACGGUCUGCGACUCCCUCUCGGGUCUCUCUCCCUUUUGGUUCCAAGCUGCUCUCCCUCUUGCCGAGCUGCUCUCUCUCUCGGACACCGAAACCCAGAGGCUUCCUGAGCUUGCAAAAUUCUGCAGCUGAGUACAAAGCACAACCGAAGCAUUUGAGUCUUACAUGGAUUCAGAAACUAGAGGGAUAAUGGCAAUAUAUGCCACUACACAGCUAAGGAGAACUUCCGAGAUUAUAUUUAUUACAGUCUGAUGCUUUUUGUUGAGGGUACAAGCAUCACACACGCUUCUCAUAUAUCAUUUGGUUUGUCCUUUUAUGAAUAAUGUAAAAUUAGAACAAUUUUAUUGUAAGAUCCAUCAAUAGAGUAUCCCGGAUUAAAAUAUUUAGAUUGUUAUUAGGACUUAGAGGUGGUUUGAGUCUUUUUAUGUAUUUAUUUAUUUUUUAUUUGUAUUGAUAAUGUUGAAAGAUGUUAUAAGUUAGCUUACGUUAUAUGUUAAUGAGAAAUUUCAAUUUCUUGUGAA